Molecule: long non-coding RNA, 1177 nt
Organism: Rattus rattus (black rat)
Lineage: Eukaryota; Metazoa; Chordata; Mammalia; Rodentia; Muridae
Exons: 2
Source: RefSeq, a predicted model, not a curated record
UCUGGGUCUUUCCUCCUUCACAGGCAGCAUCGCCGCCAUCACUGUGACAGUCAUUGCUGUGGUGUUGCUGGUGUUUGGAGCUGCGGCAUACCUGAAGAUCAGGCAUUCCUCCUACGGAAGGCUGCUGGAUGACCAUGACUACGGGUCCUGGGGAAACUACAACAACCCUCUCUAUGAUGACUCUUAACAAAGGAAGGUGGCUGAGGACAAGAAAUAACUGUCCUUUAUUUAUAAGUGCUUAUCCAGUAGAAUUAAUAACAAGUACCUGAUGUACACUGAACGACAAUCGCAAGCCCUCUUUUGUUGGUUUGGUUGUUUUUGUUUUCCUUCCUCUCUCCUCUGGCUGCUACUACAAUGUCCCCCUUCUGGUACAAAAGAACCAUUGCGUAAAGGCCAGCGGAGGCCGAUUUGCAGCUGACGCGGGCCAUCUUUGCACUGACCAAGCCAGAUAUCAUGAGGUGGGGGGGCUGCAGAACCCCUAUCACGGGAACCACUCUGGAAAUGACCUAGGAAAGGGGCUCGGAGUUGCUUGGUUGGGGAUUUAAUUUUAGGCGAUCUUUUGGUUUGGGUUAUUUCUUAAAGUUCUCGACAGGAAAUUACAUUAAAUAUCAGCAAGGAGAAAGGAAUAAAUCCCAGGAGGCUGCCACCCUGUGUGGAAGAGGUAGGGACUUCUUGAUUCCUUUCUAACCCUUGUUUGCCGGGUUGUAUCUGACAGGAUGCCGACUUAGUCCUAUAAGCAGAUAUACAAUUCUCAGCUGCCUAACCGAUGACAGGUAAAAGAGGCCUUGCCCAGGAGGAGAGCAGCAGGCAAGGGCAGAGCAGCACAGCAGGCUGUCAGUCAACAAACUCAACCAGCUCUCCCCAUCCAGGCCACCGGAAGGCGACAGGGAUCCCAACCUGAUAGCUUUCAAGAAAGUUAUAGGUCCAAACGUGAAGCGGGGAGGUGAUCUUGAAGAACAGGCGGGGAGAGACUGCAGAGACUAAGGGAUGGGGGAAGAGGGGAGAGACAAAAGCUUACGUGCACCACGGACCCUCUUGAAGCAAGCAGGAGUCGGCUCUCCAUGGUAGUGGGAGAUAUCAAAAUCUUGGAGGAACACCAUAGAACUCUAACCCAUAAAGCAACUGCCUCACUGCCUUGCUAUCUGUGUUGAGUAAUGGCUGUAUGCUAUUCCCCCCC